AGAGGGGGCAAGCGUUAUUCGGAAUUAUUGGGCGUAAAGGGCGCGUAGGCGGCUUGGCAAGUGGAAGGUGAAAUCCCUCGGCUUAACCGAGGAACUGCCCUCCAAACUGCUUUGCUUGAGGCCGGGAGAGGCGAGUGGAAUUCCCAGUGUAGCGGUGAAAUGCGUAGAUAUUGGGAGGAACACCAGUGGCGAAGGCGGCUCGCUGGACCGGUUCUGACGCUGAGGCGCGAAAGCGUGGGGAGCAAACGGGAUUAGAUACCCCGGUAGUCCACGCUGUAAACGAUGAGUGCUUGGUGUAGCGGGUAUCGACCCCUGCUGUGCCGAAGUCAACACAUUAAGCACUCCGCCUGGGGAGUACGGUCGCAAGGCUG
This 371-nucleotide ribosomal RNA is filed under the name uncultured bacterium. RNAcentral's name for it is "bacterial SSU rRNA". It matches the Rfam family "Bacterial small subunit ribosomal RNA", at positions 527 to 896 of the family's 1533-position model. The record is from RNAcentral.